This 1375-nucleotide ribosomal RNA is filed under the name Limosilactobacillus reuteri. Its description in RNAcentral is "bacterial SSU rRNA". It matches the Rfam family "Bacterial small subunit ribosomal RNA", at positions 47 to 1420 of the family's 1533-position model. Lineage: Bacteria; Bacillati; Bacillota; Bacilli; Lactobacillales; Lactobacillaceae. The record is from RNAcentral.
GAUGGUGCUUGCACCUGAUUGACGAUGGAUUACCAGUGAGUGGCGGACGGGUGAGUAACACGUAGGUACCUGCCCCGGAGCGGGGGAUAACAUUUGGAAACAGAUGCUAAUACCGCAAACAACAAAAGCCACAUGGCUUUUGUUUGAAAGAUGGCUUUGGCUAUCACUCUGGGAUGGACCUGCGGUGCAUUAGCUAGUUGGUAAGGUAACGGCUUACCAAGGCGAUGAUGCAUAGCCAAGUUGAGAGACUGAUCGGCCACAAUGGAACUGAGACACGGUCCAUACUCCUACGGGAGGCAGCAGUAGGGAAUCUUCCACAAUGGGCGCAAGCCUGAUGGAGCAACACCGCGUGAGUGAAGAAGGGUUUCGGCUCGUAAAGCUCUGUUGUUGGAGAAGAACGUGCGUGAGAGUAACUGUUCACGCAGUGACGGUAUCCAACCAGAAAGUCACGGCUAACUACGUGCCAGCAGCCGCGGUAAUACGUAGGUGGCAAGCGUUAUCCGGAUUUAUUGGGCGUAAAGCGAGCGCAGGCGGUUGCUUAGGUCUGAUGUGAAAGCCUUCGGCUUAACCGAAGAAGUGCAUCGGAAACCGGGCGACUUGAGUGCAGAAGAGGACAGUGGAACUCCAUGUGUAGCGGUGGAAUGCGUAGAUUUAUGGAAGAACACCAGUGGCGAAGGCGGCUGUCUGGUCUGCAACUGACGCUGAGGCUCGAAAGCAUGGGUAGCGAACAGGAUUAGAUACCCUGGUAGUCCAUGCCGUAAACGAUGAGUGCUAGGUGUUGGAGGGUUUCCGCCCUUCAGUGCCGGAGCUAACGCAUUAAGCACUCCGCCUGGGGAGUACGACCGCAAGGUUGAAACUCAAAGGAAUUGACGGGGGCCCGCACAAGCGGUGGAGCAUGUGGUUUAAUUCGAAGCUACGCGAAGAACCUUACCAGGUCUUGACAUCUUGCGCUAACCUUAGAGAUAAGGCGUUCCCUUCGGGGACGCAAUGACAGGUGGUGCAUGGUCGUCGUCAGCUCGUGUCGUGAGAUGUUGGGUUAAGUCCCGCAACGAGCGCAACCCUUGUUACUAGUUGCCAGCAUUAAGUUGGGCACUCUAGUGAGACUGCCGGUGACAAACCGGAGGAAGGUGGGGACGACGUCAGAUCAUCAUGCCCCUUAUGACCUGGGCUACACACGUGCUACAAUGGACGGUACAACGAGUCGCAAGCUCGCGAGAGUAAGCUAAUCUCUUAAAGCCGUUCUCAGUUCGGACUGUAGGCUGCAACUCGCCUACACGAAGUCGGAAUCGCUAGUAAUCGCGGAUCAGCAUGCCGCGGUGAAUACGUUCCCGGGCCUUGUACACACCGCCCGUCACACCAUGGGAGUUUGUAACGC